RNAcentral lists this ribosomal RNA (301 nucleotides) under uncultured bacterium. RNAcentral's name for it is "partial 16S ribosomal RNA". It matches the Rfam family "Bacterial small subunit ribosomal RNA", at positions 509 to 808 of the family's 1533-position model. The record is from RNAcentral.
CAGCAGCCGCGGUAAUACGAACCGUGCGAACGUUAUUCGGAAUUACUGGGCUUAAAGCGUGUGUAGGCGGCUCGGCACGUCGGACGUUGAAAGCCCCCGGCUCAACCGGGGAAGUGGCGCCGAUACGGCCGAGCUGGAGGGGGGUAGGGGGGUCUGGAACUUCCGGUGUAGCAGUGAAAUGCGUAGAUAUGCGGAGGAACACCGAUGGCGAAGGCAAUCCCCUGGGCCUGCACUGACGCUCAUGCACGAAAGCGUGGGGAGCAAACAGGAUUAGAUACCCGGGUAGUCCCUGUCUCUUAUU